Molecule: ribosomal RNA, 464 nt
Filed under: uncultured bacterium
Lineage: Bacteria
Description: partial 16S ribosomal RNA
Rfam family: Bacterial small subunit ribosomal RNA
Source: RNAcentral
CUACGGGUGGCAGCAGUGGGGAAUAUUGCACAAUGGGCGCAAGCCUGAUGCAGCCAUGCCGCGUGUAUGAAGAAGGCCUUCGGGUUGUAAAGUACUUUCAGCGGGGAGGAAGGGAGUAAAGUUAAUACCUUUGCUCAUUGACGUUACCCGCAGAAGAAGCACCGGCUAACUCCGUGCCAGCAGCCGCGGUAAUACGGAGGGUGCAAGCGUUAAUCGGAAUUACUGGGCGUAAAGCGCACGCAGGCGGUUUGUUAAGUCGGAUGUGAAAUCCCCGGGCUCAACCUGGGAACUGCAUCUGAUACUGGCAGGCUUGAGUGUCGUAGAGGGGGGUAGAAUUCCAGGUGUAGCGGUGAAAUGCGUAGAGAUCUGGAGGAAUACCGGUGGCGAAGGCGGCCCCCUGGACGAAGACUGACGCUCAGGUGCGAAAGCGUGGGGAGCAAACAGGAUUAGAUACCCGUGUAGUC